GAUGAAGAACGCAGCAAAAUGCGAUAAGUAAUGUGAAUUGCAGAAUUCAGUGAAUCAUCGAAUCUUUGAACGCACAUUGCGCCCGCCAGCAUUCUGGCGGGCAUGCCUGUUCGAGCGUCAUUUCAACCCUCGACCUCCCUUUGGGGAAGUCGGCGUUGGGGACCGGCAGCACACCGCCGGCCCUGAAAUGGAGUGGCGGCCCGUCCGCGGCGACCUCUGCGUAGUAAACCAACUCGCACCGGAACCCCGACGUGGCCACGCCGUAAAACACCCAACUUCUGAACGUUGACCUCGAAUCAGGUAGGACUACCCGCUGAACUUAAGCAUAUCAAAGCGGAGGA
This 341-nucleotide unclassified non-coding RNA is filed under the name soil metagenome. RNAcentral describes it as "partial contains 5.8S ribosomal RNA, internal transcribed spacer 2, and large subunit ribosomal RNA". The stretch from base 1 to 120 matches the Rfam family "5.8S ribosomal RNA", at positions 35 to 154 of the family's 154-position model. The record is from RNAcentral.